This 557-nucleotide ribosomal RNA is filed under the name uncultured bacterium. RNAcentral's name for it is "bacterial SSU rRNA". It matches the Rfam family "Bacterial small subunit ribosomal RNA", at positions 102 to 694 of the family's 1533-position model. The record is from RNAcentral.
ACGGGUGAGUAACGCGUGGGAACGUACCUUUUGGUUCGGAACAACACAGGGAAACUUGUGCUAAUACCGGAUAAGCCCUUACGGGGAAAGAUUUAUCGCCGAAAGAUCGGCCCGCGUCUGAUUAGCUUGUUGGUGAGGUAACGGCUCACCAAGGCGACGAUCAGUAGCUGGUCUGAGAGGAUGAUCAGCCACAUUGGGACUGAGACACGGCCCAAACUCCUACGGGAGGCAGCAGUGGGGAAUAUUGGACAAUGGGCGAAAGCCUGAUCCAGCCAUGCCGCGUGAGUGAUGAAGGCCCUAGGGUUGUAAAGCUCUUUUGUGCGGGAAGAUAAUGACGGUACCGCAAGAAUAAGCCCCGGCUAACUUCGUGCCAGCAGCCGCGGUAAUACGAAGGGGGCUAGCGUUGCUCGGAAUCACUGGGCGUAAAGGGUGCGUAGGCGGGUUUCUAAGUCAGAGGUGAAAGCCUGGAGCUCAACUCCAGAACUGCCUUUGAUACUGGAAGUCUUGAGUUCGGGAGAGGUGAGUGGAACUGCGAGUGUAGAGGUGAAAUUCGUAGA